AGUACAGUGAUAUUUACAGUACAGUGAUUUAUAGAAAAUUUGAAAAUGUAAAAAUGCACGAACUACAGGUAAUAUGUAAAAUUGCAGUUUACUUAUAACUUUUAGUACUAUCUAGUUUGUUUUUGUAUCUUCUUAUAUCGCUGCUUGGCAUUGACAGUGGCACACACUCAAGAAAUGUAAAUUCUCGAAGGAAUGCUUUUAAAAAUUUAAAAAGAAAUCUUCGUACGUCAUUUCAAAGAUAUUAUAAGGCUGACUUAACGCGAGAUAUGCCGAUAUUCGCGAAAGCAGUACAACCUUCCACUUUUAGCGUCACAAAACAAAAACGAGCUAACAGUUGUUGUAAAACUAUGGCUUGGUUGACAGCGACAUAACUACCUUUGACGCAAAACUGCUGGAAUUAUAAGUAUGCCGUUUUACAUGAUAAAAAUAAAAACAUAAUACAAGACUUUUAUUCGAUAACAGCAACUUUGAAAUUUGUUGAGUUGUGACACUGUCAAUACUAAGCAUCGAUACAGAAAUUCCUUCAUACAUAAAAGAAAUGGUCACCAAAGAUAUUCAAAUUUGAACAACGAUAUUGGAGUGCAUCGAGUGACCAAUAAGACGUUAGAUCGCACGAGACGCAUCGCAGAUGCGCCGCGGAUAUCGAUUCGUUGCGAUAUAUCGAUUGCGCGAAACAAUUAUUGCCAGUGCAGCUGGACGCGUGAUACCUGACACAGGUUAGAAGUGUACCGAAUCGAUUUAGAGAACGUAUUCCUUCUGCGUGUACAAUGGAAAAAAGCGGCGACUCUUUUCUUCACGGUGUGUUAUUGUCCACCAGCGAGUGCAAGAUCGAACGUCGAUAAUUCAUUUCGAUGGCCGGGCGAGUGCCGCCACGCCGUGCACGCACAAUGCCGCGGUUCGCGCAGUCGAAAAAAGGUAAUUCAAGUUACACGAUCCUUUCGACCUUGUAUCCGCGUGUUCGUUGGUUGAUCGCGCGUGACCCAUGGCGUCUUCCUCUUCGCGAUGGAACGCGAGACCUCUUAUCGAGAGUCUGAUCUCGAUCGUGUCGCGGUUUUCAAGGGAAUGACCAUUUAACCUUACCAAACUCGAGGAACCAGCCUUGACGCGACGUUGACGGGUCGGUUAAAGUUUCAAAGCGAUUCUCGUUUGUAGAUUUUCCCGCGAUUUCUCUUAUCUUACGUUUUAUCUACAAUGUUACUCUUUCCAAAAGGUAUGAUCGUUUAACCUUACUAAAUCUGGAGGACAGGCAGCGCCACGAUGUCAACAUUCGAGUUGACGUCUUGCCUUGGUUAUCUCUUGCAAAUUUCACUCUGACGUGACAUAAGUUACAUUACGUGUAUUGUGUAUUGUUAUGAUUUGGCGAGGACGGUCGUUUAACCUAAAAGAGCAAGGUGGAUUUCACGAAGUUUGCCAGGAAUGCCGAAGUUUCGAAAGAAUGAUAUUAUACGAGGUUUUUCUACGAAAUACGCUAUCGAUAAUGUAUUAUUCAACGUCUGCGAUUCUUGACCACGUGAACAAGGAAUUUCGAGGACCUACAUACAUGCACAGCGUUUGUUACCUGGUUGGCAUUGCGACGUGAAAUGUUUCACAGGUAUCGAAUCGCUGAUGCAAUUGGCCAUCGGUAAUACCUUGCUCGAGGGGAAUAUACGAGAAAUACAAAUGUUGUUGGUGGAAGGGGUAGAGCAAGGAAAUGCCGCCUUUCGGUCGAGAAAAACACAAUAACGGAUGGUACCACUCUUCGCAGCGUAUUCCAUCCGAAAUGCUUGUAACCUUCCUCUUGUAGGCUGACAGACGAGAUAACGCGACGGGAGCUAAAAUAUCCACGCGAGAUGCAAAUAAAGCCGACGUAGUCCGUCACAUGUCGAUUCGUCGCUUCGACACGUGCGCGUACCGCUAUUUAUCCGUAUCCGUGAUACGUAUCGCGCUAAUCGAAGAAUAUAUUUCGCUGGCAACGAUGAAACGUUCUCGGGAUUCGAGAUCGCUGUAAUAGUUAAACAUCAAACUCGAACGUUAACCGGGAUUAUUGGAACGAUCGUAGCGUGGUCCAUUAACGACGGAGAUCUUUCUUGACCACAUACGACGGGGAUGGUGCGACACAAACAGACGAGUCAGUCACUAGGGGUACACCGUGAAACGCGAAUUCGUUCUAUUUACUCUACAGUUAAUGUUACUUGAUAAAGAUAUACCAAACUAACAAGAAACAUAAAUAAAUCAAUGCAAAUGUUUAUUUUUCGAAUAUUUUUAGAAGCAACUAUAAAC
Molecule: long non-coding RNA, 2259 nt
Organism: Bombus pascuorum
Lineage: Eukaryota; Metazoa; Arthropoda; Insecta; Hymenoptera; Apidae
Exons: 4
Source: RefSeq, a predicted model, not a curated record